UGCUAUACAUGCAGUCGAGCGCAGGAAGCAAGUUGAUCCCCUUCGGGGGUGACGCUUGUGGAAUGAGCGGCGGACGGGUGAGUAACACGUGGGCAACCUGCCUGUAAGACUGGGAUAACCCCGGGAAACCGGGGCUAAUACCGGAUAAUACUUUCUUUUGCAUAAAGGAAAGUUGAAAGGCGGCUUCGGCUGUCACUUACAGAUGGGCCCGCGGCGCAUUAGCUAGUUGGUGAGGUAACGGCUCACCAAGGCGACGAUGCGUAGCCGACCUGAGAGGGUGAUCGGCCACACUGGGACUGAGACACGGCCCAGACUCCUACGGGAGGCAGCAGUAGGGAAUCUUCCGCAAUGGACGAAAGUCUGACGGAGCAACGCCGCGUGAGUGAUGAAGGUUUUCGGAUCGUAAAACUCUGUUGUUAGGGAAGAACAAGUACGAUAGUAACUGAUCGUACCUUGACGGUACCUAACCAGAAAGCCACGGCUAACUACGUGCCAGCAGCCGCGGUAAUACGUAGGUGGCAAGCGUUGUCCGGAAUUAUUGGGCGUAAAGCGCUCGCAGGCGGUCCUUUAAGUCUGAUGUGAAAUCUCGCGGCUCAACCGCGAACGGUCAUUGGAAACUGGAGGACUUGAGUACAGAAGAGGAGAGUGGAAUUCCACGUGUAGCGGUGAAAUGCGUAGAGAUGUGGAGGAACACCAGUGGCGAAGGCGACUCUCUGGUCUGUAACUGACGCUGAGGAGCGAAAGCGUGGGGAGCGAACAGGAUUAGAUACCCUGGUAGUCCACGCCGUAAACGAUGAGUGCUAGGUGUUAGGGGGUUUCCCGCCCCUUAGUGCUGAAGUUAACGCAUUAAGCACUCCGCCUGGGGGAGUACGGCGCAAGGCUGAACUCAAAGAUUGACGGGGCCCGCACAGCGGUAGAGCAUGUGUUU
This 928-nucleotide ribosomal RNA is filed under the name Piscibacillus sp. V3B(2010). Its description in RNAcentral is "bacterial SSU rRNA". It matches the Rfam family "Bacterial small subunit ribosomal RNA", at positions 45 to 946 of the family's 1533-position model. Lineage: Bacteria; Bacillati; Bacillota; Bacilli; Caryophanales; Bacillaceae. The record is from RNAcentral.